RNAcentral lists this ribosomal RNA (495 nucleotides) under uncultured bacterium. RNAcentral's name for it is "partial 16S ribosomal RNA". It matches the Rfam family "Bacterial small subunit ribosomal RNA", at positions 28 to 507 of the family's 1533-position model. The record is from RNAcentral.
GACGAACGCUGGCGGCGUGCCUAAUACAUGCAAGUAGAACGCUGAAGGAGGAGCUUGCUUCUCUGGAUGAGUUGCGAACGGGUGAGUAACGCGUAGGUAACCUGCCUGGUAGCGGGGGAUAACUAUUGGAAACGAUAGCUAAUACCGCAUAAUAGCAGUUGUUGCAUGACAACUGUUUGAAAGGUGCAAUUGCACCACUACCAGAUGGACCUGCGUUGUGUUAGCUAGUUGGUGGGGUAACGGCUCACCAAGGCGACGAUACAUAGCCGACCUGAGAGGGUGAUCGGCCCCUCUGUGAAGGACUCACGGCCCAGUCGCCUACGGGUGGCAGCAGUAGGGAAUCUUUGGCAAUGGACGGAAUUCUGACCGAGCAACGCCGCGUGAGUGAAGAAGGUUUUCGGAUCGUAAAGCUCUGUUGUAAGAGAAGAACGAGUGUGAGAGUGGAAAGUUCACACUGUGACGGUAUCUUACCAGAAAGGGACGGCUAACUACGUG